This 496-nucleotide ribosomal RNA is filed under the name uncultured bacterium. RNAcentral's name for it is "partial 16S ribosomal RNA". It matches the Rfam family "Bacterial small subunit ribosomal RNA", at positions 28 to 506 of the family's 1533-position model. The record is from RNAcentral.
GAUGAACGCUGGCGGCGUGCCUAAUACAUGCAAGUCGAGCGAACAGACGAAGAGCUUGCUCCUCUGACGUUAGCGGCGGACGGGUGAGUAACACGUGGAUAACCUACCUAUAAGACUGGGAUAACUUCGGGAAACCGGAGCUAAUACCGGAUAAUAUAUUGAACCGCAUGGUUCAAUAGUGAAAGACGGUUUUGCUGUCACUUAUAGAUGGAUCCGCGCCGCAUUAGCUAGUUGGUAAGGUAACGGCUUACCAAGGCAACGAUGCGUAGCCGACCUGAGAGGGGUACCGCCCACCCGGAAACGGAGCCCCGGCCCAGACCCCUACGGGGGGCAGAAGUGGGGAAUCUUCCGAAAGGGGCGAAAGCCUGACGGGGAAACGCCGGGUGAGGUAAGAAGGUCUUGGGAUCGUAAAACUUUUUUAUUAGGGAAAAAAAAAUUUUAAAGUAAAUAUGCACGUUUUGACGGUACCAAAACAGAAAGCCCCGGCUAACUACGU